GACAUACACACGUUAACAUUUCUUUAGCCAUAAUUAUUUAUAUAUAUUUAGUUACAAUCUCAACCAUUAAAUCCAGUCAUUUAUUUAUGAUCCACGGUUCUACCAAGUUUAGCGUAGUCGAAGAAGAAAACUUUAUCAUGGGGAAAAAAAGAACCUCACUUUUCUCUCUUUUUUCUCACCCUUCUAUCUUUUCCAACUUUCUCAAAACUUCAGAAUCUAGUUUUGCUACCUCUCCGGGGAAGGCGCUCUCACCUUGCUCUUAAUGAAGGCUUGAACUUGCAUGAUGAAGGAGAAGCAAGAGUGAGCAAUUUAUUUUCUUCAGCAACG
This 327-nucleotide long non-coding RNA is filed under the name Capsella grandiflora. RNAcentral's name for it is "long non-coding RNA (CGRA_LNC000054)". The record is from RNAcentral. Lineage: Eukaryota; Viridiplantae; Streptophyta; Magnoliopsida; Brassicales; Brassicaceae.